AUAUAGAUUUGGAUUUUCUUUAGCUUUCAAACUCAUCGCAGCUAGUGCUUUUGGCAAAUUGUCCUCUGAUUAGAAUGAAUGAUCAAACCUAUUCCAACCCUCAAGGGCAGUAUGAUUGAACUUUCCACAUAUUUGACAUUUUACAAUGUUUUCUCCAUGUUGGUGAGUCGAGGUUUGUUUCCAAUGGACAUUUUUUGUAAUUUGCUCAUUCUUGUUGCCAUUGAAGUUAGAGAUUUGGUGAGAGUUUGGAUUGUACCUUGUUGCUAGAUUGAAUCGUC
This 278-nucleotide long non-coding RNA is filed under the name Capsicum annuum. RNAcentral describes it as "long non-coding RNA (CANN_LNC010214)". Lineage: Eukaryota; Viridiplantae; Streptophyta; Magnoliopsida; Solanales; Solanaceae. The record is from RNAcentral.